This 334-nucleotide unclassified non-coding RNA is filed under the name soil metagenome. RNAcentral describes it as "partial contains 5.8S ribosomal RNA, internal transcribed spacer 2, and large subunit ribosomal RNA". The stretch from base 1 to 120 matches the Rfam family "5.8S ribosomal RNA", at positions 35 to 154 of the family's 154-position model. The record is from RNAcentral.
GAUGAAGAACGCAGCGAAAUGCGAUAAGUAAUGUGAAUUGCAGAAUUCAGUGAAUCAUCGAAUCUUUGAACGCACAUUGCGCCCCCCAGUAUUCUGGCGGGCAUGCCUGUUCGAGCGUCAUUUCAACCAUCAAGCCCUGCUUGUGUUGGGGUCCUGCGGCUGCCCGCAGGCCCUGAAAACCAGUGGCGGGCUCGCUAGUCACACCGAGCGCAGUAGCACAUCUCGCUCAGGGCGUGCGGCGGGCUCCAGCCGUUAAAGCACCCACCUUUCGCAAGGUUGAUCUCGGAUCAGGUAGGAAUACCCGCUGAACUUAAGCAUAUCAAUAAGCGGAGGA